ACGGGUGAGUAAUGCAUCGGGAUCUACCCUGACGUGGGGGAUAACCUCGGGAAACCGGGACUAAUACCGCAUACGUCCUACGGGAGAAAGCGGGGGACCUUUUAGGUAUCGCGCGGCAGGACGAACCGAUGUGCGAUUAGCUAGUUGGCGGGGUAAUGGCCCACCAAGGCGACGAUCGCUAGCUGGUCUGAGAGGAUGAUCAGCCACACUGGGACUGAGACACGGCCCAGACUCCUACGGGAGGCAGCAGUGGGGAAUAUUGGACAAUGGGCGCAAGCCUGAUCCAGCAAUGCCGGGUGAGUGAAGAAGGCCUUCGGGUUGUAAAGCACUUUUAUCAGGAGCGAAAUGUGCAUGCUUAAUACGUGUGCAGUCUGACGGUACCUGAGAAAGCCCCAGUCGCCAACUUCAUGCCAGCAGCCGCGGUAAUACGAAGGGUGCAAGCGUUAAUCGGAAUUACUGGGC
This 462-nucleotide ribosomal RNA is filed under the name uncultured Rhodanobacter sp. RNAcentral describes it as "bacterial SSU rRNA". It matches the Rfam family "Bacterial small subunit ribosomal RNA", at positions 102 to 559 of the family's 1533-position model. Lineage: Bacteria; Pseudomonadati; Pseudomonadota; Gammaproteobacteria; Lysobacterales; Rhodanobacteraceae. The record is from RNAcentral.